RNAcentral lists this ribosomal RNA (446 nucleotides) under uncultured Microcoleus sp. Its description in RNAcentral is "bacterial SSU rRNA". It matches the Rfam family "Bacterial small subunit ribosomal RNA", at positions 38 to 530 of the family's 1533-position model. The record is from RNAcentral. Lineage: Bacteria; Bacillati; Cyanobacteriota; Cyanophyceae; Oscillatoriales; Microcoleaceae.
GGCGGUCUGCUUAACACAUGCAAGUCGAACGGGACUCUUCGGAGUUCAGUGGCGGACGGGUGAGUAACGCGUGAGAAUCUGCCUUCAGGUCGGGACAACCACUGGAAACGGUGGCUAAUACCGGAUAUGCCGCAACGUGAAAGAUUUAUCGCCUGAAGAGGAGCUCGCGUCUGAUUAGCUAGUUGGUGGGGUAAAAGCUCACCAAGGCGACGAUCAGUAGCUGGUCUGAGAGGAUGAUCAGCCACACUGGGACUGAGACACGGCCCAGACUCCUACGGGAGGCAGCAGUGGGGAAUUUCCGCAAUGGGCGAAAGCCUGACGGAGCAAGGCCGCGUGAGGGAGGAAGGCUCUUGGGUUGUAAACCUCUUUCUCAGGGAAGAACAAAAUGACGGUACCUGAGGAAUCAGCCUCGGCUAACUCCGUGCCAGCAGCCGGUCGACGCGGCC